Gadus morhua (Atlantic cod) is the source of this 1836-nucleotide long non-coding RNA. Lineage: Eukaryota; Metazoa; Chordata; Actinopteri; Gadiformes; Gadidae. The record is from Ensembl.
UUUUGUUCGCCGACCUCUGUCCAUACGAUGUAUGAAUAAAGAAAUGUUCUUUAUAUUAAAAGUUUGAUUCAUUUUGAUUAUGCAUAUUUAUUCUGGCAGAAUUUAGUAUUAUGACUUAAUUAACUUAAUUAUUUCCCGGAUUUUGCAUUAGUUACCGCAGUAACUAACACACGCGCGCGCGUGCGUGCGCGCACACACACACACACACACACACACACACACACACACACACACACACACACACACACACACACACACACACUUCUCAAACCAAAGUUACGCCCUUGGAGUCGUGUGUAAAAUAACGUGAUUGCAUAAUGGGAUCAUCGUUUGAUAGAGGAUAGUGGUCUACAGAUCAACGCUACCAAGCAUACAAUGUAGCCUUAUUUGAUAGGGUAGCACGAUUUGAUAGACGUUGCUAUCCUUCGCACUACGGUGGGGAUAUGUUACCAGGUAGCAUACAAUGGCAGGAACCCGACAGAAAGGCUGGAAGAAGUCAGGUGACGAAAAACACAAUGCAACAAAGCAUGGAGGAAGUGAGUGGAGGGGAUGAAUGGAUCAAACACAGCACCCAUGUGACCGGGCUAUUUGUUACAUUGUUUUAUUUUUUGGUCAGGUUUCAACAACACAACUAGGCCUACUUGAUUCGUUUGGCAGUUUUAAGAACUUAAGUCCAAUUUAUCCCAUGUCACAGGAUAGCUACCUUAGAGAUUGGUAGCGCAUCAAUACUAAAAAUACAGCAACAACGUGUGUGAUUCCCAAGGGCUUCCUUCGAGACAAACAGGAUACAGUUUCCCCUUUUAAAGUUUAGUUUUUAAAGAAAAAGGGAAGGGCGUUUAUCACAUUUGGUUACUUCUUCCACUAGAUCUCUAAUUUAUCAUCUUCUUCUACGAUGGGCUUCAUUGGCAUUUUCUUAGUUCUUUCUUUGACCAUAUCAACCGUUGGGGGAUUAAGAUGCUACUCGUGUGCGACCACACAGUUAAACCCCAGCGACUGCCUUGAGACCCGUGAGUGUCCCCUCUCCAUGGAUCACUGUUUCAGCAUAACAUCCGAUGUCUUUGGGCAACUCAAGGCGAAGGGGUGUCAAUCGAGUAUUAUUUGUAAUGUCGGCGGCGCAACCUUGAAUUGCUGCACUGGCGAUUUAUGUAACAAUGCGAAGAACAUCGGAUCAAGUUUCAUCCUCGUGCUGUUGUCUACCGCUGCACUGUAUUACCUCUGAUCAGUUGGUUUGUGUGCACUCUAGAAACUUGGGGCCAGAUUCACAAAGGAGUCUCAAAAUAAUAUAAUCCUGUGCAUUACCUGGAGAUUAUGCUAUAUACUAGAAUAUUCCUAUCGAAGGUUCUUCACUGCAAUUCCUCAAUAACUUCCUCAAAACUCUUAAGAAAUGUUUUUCCAGUCUUACCAAUUUUUUUUCUGUGGAUACGUUUAAAUCAAUCACUUGUCAUCUCUAUAGUGAAAAGGUCAAAUCCUAACAAGGGAUGAACUAAUUUGUAGUUAUGCAUAGCGUUUCGCAGCUUGGACCUAUGUCUUUUUCUUUAUUAUAAUAUCAAUACACAAUUGAAUCAGUGAGUUGCAGCAACACCUUAAAAUGAGAUGAAAAACUAUAGUAAAUAGAAGUAAUUACAAGUUAAGAAAAACAGUAUCAAAUACAUUAUCAUGAGCUUGUUCUGUCCAUGAACAACUGUUUGUUUGCUAUCUUGAUCACUAUUUUGUCUUGCUUAUUCUAUUCAUUCAUCUUUCUCUCGCAAAACUUUCUCUUUAUAGUGACACAUGUACAACUAGCAUACUGUGUAGAUCGAUAUGAUAUGCUUACCUGAUCGGCCUCCCAAAUAAAGC